CAGUAGCCACGGUAAUACGUAGGUGGCAAGCGUUGUCCGGAAUUAUUGGGCGUAAAGCGCGCGCAGGCGGAUCAGUCAGUCUGCCUUAAAAGUUCGGGGCUUAACCCCGUGAUGGGACGGAAACUGCUGAUCUAGAGUAUCGGAGAGGAAAGUGGAAUUCCUAGUGUAGCGGUGAAAUGCGUAGAUAUUAGGAAGAACACCAGUGGCGAAGGCGACUUUCUGGACGAAAACUGACGCUGAGGCGCGAAAGCCAGGGGAGCGAACGGGAUUAGAUACCCCCGUAGUCCCUGUCUCUUAUACA
Molecule: ribosomal RNA, 301 nt
Filed under: uncultured bacterium
Lineage: Bacteria
Description: partial 16S ribosomal RNA
Rfam family: Bacterial small subunit ribosomal RNA
Source: RNAcentral